RNAcentral lists this ribosomal RNA (674 nucleotides) under uncultured bacterium. Its description in RNAcentral is "bacterial SSU rRNA". It matches the Rfam family "Archaeal small subunit ribosomal RNA", at positions 322 to 1001 of the family's 1478-position model. The record is from RNAcentral.
CCUACGGGGCGCAGCAGGCGCGAAAACUUUACAAUGUGCGAAAGCACGAUAAGGGAAUUCUGAGUGCCUCCUAAGGAGGCUGUUCAGAUGUUUAAAAAGCAUCUGGAGGAAGGGCUGGGUAAGACCGGUGCCAGCCGCCGCGGUAACACCGGCAGCCCAAGUGGUAGUCAUGCUUACUGGGUCUAAAGCGUCCGUAGCCGGCCAGGUAAGUUCCUUGGGAAAUUUGAUCGCUUAACGAUCAAGCUACCUGGGAAUACUACCUGGCUUGGGACCGGGAGAGGUCAGAGGUACCUCAAGGGUAAGGGUGAAAUCCGUUAAUCCUUGGGGGACCACCGGUAGCGAAGGCGUCUGACCAGACCGGAUCCGACGGUGAGGGACGAAGGCUAGGGGAGCGAAGCGGAUUAGAUACCCGCGUAGUCCUGGCUGUAAACGAUGCGGGCUAAGUGUUGGUAUUACUGCGAGUGAUGCCAGUGCCGAAGGGAAGCCGUUAAGCCCGCCAUCUGGGGAGUACGGUCGCAAGGCUGAAACUUAAAGGAAUUGGCGGGGGAGCACCACAACGGGUGGAGCUUGCGGUUCAAUUGGAUUCAACGCCGGAAAUCUCACCGGAGGGGACAGCGAGAUGAAGGUCAGGCUAAAGACCUUACCAGAUUAGCUGAGAGGAGGUGCAUGGCCAA